This 496-nucleotide ribosomal RNA is filed under the name uncultured bacterium. RNAcentral's name for it is "partial 16S ribosomal RNA". It matches the Rfam family "Bacterial small subunit ribosomal RNA", at positions 28 to 506 of the family's 1533-position model. The record is from RNAcentral.
GAUGAACGCUGGCGGCGUGCCUAAUACAUGCAAGUCGAGCGAACAGACGAGGAGCUUGCUCCUCUGACGUUAGCGGCGGACGGGUGAGUAACACGUGGAUAACCUACCUAUAAGACUGGGAUAACUUCGGGAAACCGGAGCUAAUACCGGAUAAUAUAUUGAACCGCAUGGUUCAAUAGUGAAAGACGGUUUUGCUGUCACUUAUAGAUGGAUCCGCGCCGCAUUAGCUAGUUGGUAAGGUAACGGCUUACCAAGGCAACGAUGCGUAGCCGACCUGAGAGGGUGAUCGGCAACACUGGAACUGAGACACGGUCCAGACUCCUACGGGAGGCAGCAGUAGGGAAUCUUCCGCAAUGGGCGAAAGCCUGACGGAGCAACGCCGCGUGAGUGAUGAAGGUCUUCGGAUCGUAAAACUCUGUUAUUAGGGAAGAACAAAUGUGUAAGUAACUAUGCACGUCUGGACGGUACCUAAGCAGAAAGCCACGGCUAACUACGG